CAGUCGCCACGGGAAUACGAAGGGGGCUAGCGUUGUUCGGAUUUACUGGGCGUAAAGGGUGCGUAGGCGGACUGAUAAGUCAGGGGUGAAAUCCCAAGGCUCAACCUUGGAACUGCCUUUGAUACUGUUAGUCUUGAGUUCGAGAGAGGUGAGUGGAACUGCGAGUGUAGAGGUGAAAUUCGUAGAUAUUCGCAAGAACACCAGUGGCGAAGGCGGCUCACUGGCUCGAAACUGACGCUGAGGCACGAAAGCGUGGGGAGCAACCAGGAUUAGAUACCCCAGUAGUCCCUGUCUCUUAUAC
This 301-nucleotide ribosomal RNA is filed under the name uncultured bacterium. Its description in RNAcentral is "partial 16S ribosomal RNA". It matches the Rfam family "Bacterial small subunit ribosomal RNA", at positions 509 to 807 of the family's 1533-position model. The record is from RNAcentral.